AGGCUGAUCAGGGAAGAUUAUAAGUUCAGGGGUCGAAUUGAUAUUUAAGUACUAGGGUUAGUAUGCUUAAACACAAGUCUGAAUUGCGCCGCUGUGCAGGAGUAGAAAAGAAAUGGAGGCCAUUACAAAUUUCUUAGAACAGAAGACCCAAUCGCUUCCAUUAAUCAAAUUAUCAAGGAAAACUAGAGGCACUGUUCAAUUUGUUGAGAGAUUCUUAGGUAGACUCGGUCCAUCAUCCGUAUAAGAAAAAAAUAUGAAAAACAAUAAAAUUGCCGUUUGCAUAAGAACCCACAUUGUUUAAGCAAUCAUACAUGCCAUUUUCACUGUCAAUUGCUGCCAAUACGCGAAAGAAGGCGCUGGGUGCUGUGAUUUUGGGGGCUGCCUGAUGAUUAUAGUGUGGCUGGGGCAUAUGCGUAGGGUAAGUUUUCGAUUAUGAAAAUCCGGAAAAAGAACGUGGAAAAGGAACGGUUACAAUUGCAUAGGCAUAGGCCGAAUCUUGUAUUUAGUUCCCAACCUGGAGUUCUUUGGGUCUGCAACCAGGAGACGCAAGAUCCGCAAGGACACAAGUUUUGCUUCUGCUGAACCUAACAAAAUCAAACCAGCAGCAUUGAAGCUUAAACUGCAGUAGUACUCAUCUCUACCAUGUACAAUGAAAAUUAAUACUAGUUUUGGAAGGAGCUAGACCUGGGUAUAUAUAUUGAUAAGGUUAUAGAUUA
Long non-coding RNA from Mercurialis annua (annual mercury), 716 nucleotides. RefSeq lists it as uncharacterized. Lineage: Eukaryota; Viridiplantae; Streptophyta; Magnoliopsida; Malpighiales; Euphorbiaceae. The record is from RefSeq and is a predicted model, not a curated record. The transcript has 2 exons.